This 646-nucleotide long non-coding RNA is filed under the name Equus caballus (horse). Its description in RNAcentral is "lncRNA (ENSECAG00000047542.1)". Lineage: Eukaryota; Metazoa; Chordata; Mammalia; Perissodactyla; Equidae. The record is from RNAcentral.
GCUUUAAGGCUGAGAGGUGAGCAGAUCUCGCAGGGAGAUCCCGAAGAAGAGGCAGAGAGCCGCCCGCGCCAGCUGUCACUGUUCCAGUGCGUGGCCAUGUUUCCCUUCAGAUAAUAAAUGUCAUCAAGUUUGGUCACACGGGUAUUAAAUCACAUUCAAGCACCUGUUUACCUGCAGAGCAGUUUAAUAUUCAUAGCAAAACUGAGGAGAAAGUACCCACAUACCCUCUGCCCCUCACACACAGCCUCCUCUACUAUUGACACCUGCUCCACAGGGGUUUUGGUGUAGAUGAGUUUUCAACUCCUCCCUGUCAAUACCAAGGAGAGAUUGCUGGAUUAUAAGUGUCCUCCCCAGACUCUGUCCUUGCCUCUUGGGUCACGGUCAGUGAUGUCUCCACCUGUGUUGUCCUGAGUGUGUGACUCUGGCUCAAGGGUUCUGCUGGCCCAGCCCAACAACCGUGCUGAGCUGGGCCUCUAAGUUUAGGAGCACCUGAGGUCCCAGCUGCAGAGGCGUCUGAUCAGGCUCAGAGGCAUCAAACAGAUCAGCACAACAUACUAAAAUUUGUAUCUACCAUCAGCAGUCUCCAUUAAACGUGUGCCCCUAUUAAACAAGUAUUCCCUUUGGAAAGAAUUUCAAAGUCAUCGCA